GUAGGGAAUAUUGGGCAAUGGAGGCAACUCUGACCCAGCCAUGCCGCGUGCAGGAUGACGGCCCUCUGGGUUGUAAACUGCUUUUAUACGGGAAGAAAAAAUACUACGUGUAGUAUACUGACGGUACCGUAAGAAUAAGGAUCGGCUAACUCCGUGCCAGCAGCCGCGGUAAUACGGAGGAUCCAAGCGUUGUCCGGAUUUAUUGGGUUUAAAGGGUGCGUAGGCGGAUCUUUAAGUCAGUGGUGAAAGCCUGCAGCUUAACUGUAGAUUGGCCAUUGAAACUGAAGAUCUUGAAUGUGGUUAAAGUAGGCGGAAUGUAUCAUGUAGCGGUGAAAUGCUUAGAUAUGAUACAGAACACCGAUAGCGAAGGCAGCUUGCUGAACCAUUAUUGACGCUGAGGCACGAAAGCGUGGGGAGCGAACAGGAUUAGAAACCCUAGUAGUCC
Molecule: ribosomal RNA, 445 nt
Filed under: uncultured bacterium
Lineage: Bacteria
Description: partial 16S ribosomal RNA
Rfam family: Bacterial small subunit ribosomal RNA
Source: RNAcentral